Long non-coding RNA from Humulus lupulus (European hop), 2544 nucleotides. RefSeq lists it as uncharacterized. The record is from RefSeq and is a predicted model, not a curated record. Lineage: Eukaryota; Viridiplantae; Streptophyta; Magnoliopsida; Rosales; Cannabaceae. The transcript has 2 exons.
CAAGACAAUUACUUUGGGUCAAUCGUUAAAGUAUAUAAAAAAGAUUAUCGAUACUUUGACUCUAACGUCGUAGCUUACCAAGACCUUAAAAUCGUAGCUUACCAAGACUAGAGAUCUGCUGAUACUACGUGGAUCUCUGAUUUUCCUAAGAUUAAAGGGAAAGACUUGAUAGAGAUGUAGCUGAUACUACAUUGGUCUCUGCUUUUCCUAAGGCAGGUAUCAAGAUCCUUCCUAUUAAGGAUUCAUAUCAUGCCCCUUUGGUUCUUGAUCUUUUCCUUAUUAAGGACAUGUUUCGCACCCCUUUCUGAUUCUUAGAUGUUUGGUGUGGAGACCCGGGUUGUAUAGAGGUCAUCCGUAGAGCUUGGGAUAAAUCCUUUCAUGGAUUGCAGAAUUUUCAAUUACAAGCUAAGCUUAAUAGUACCAGAAAAGCCUUGAAGAUUUAGAAUAGGGAAGGCUUUGGAUUCUGUCAAGACAAAAUGAAGCUGCUUCAGGAAUUUUUUGUUCAAGUUCAGAAUCGCCCGAUUACCCCAGACAAUAAGCAACUUGAGGCCUCUAUGUUGUUGGAAAUUGAAAAAUAUAGCAAAAUGCCAAGCAGAGAUUUGGAGACAGAAGUCUAUAAAAUUGUGGCUUAAAUAUGGAGAUCAUAACUCAAAAUUCUUUAAUGCUUCAACGGUGGUUAGGAGGCAUCGGAACCGGAUUUGGUUUGUUUCUGAUGAGGGGAUAAACUGGUUACUGGGAAGGUCAGAUAUUGGAGCCUACUUCACUUGUAAUUUUACUGAAUCUUUUAAAUCCUCCAACUCGAAUAUUCAAUAUUUGUGGUUUGAGAUCACUAGGCCUGAAAUGAGUCAGGAGUCUAACGACUUCAUUGCUAGAUUCCCUUAUUUGGAGAAAGUUAAAGCUGUGGUUUGGAGUAUGCUGCCUCUGAAGUCUCCAGGUCCUGAUGGUAUGCCAGCCAAAUUUUAAAAACAGUAUUGGGACACUGUAGGGAAAGAUUUAGUCGCAGCUGUCCAGGAGUUCUUUGUGACGAGGAAAUUGUCGAGAAGUAUGAUUCGUACCUUCAUUGAGCUUAUUCCGAAAUCAGAGGCAGCUCAGGGGUUCAACGAUUAUAGACCUAUUAGUCUGUGCAAUGUGGUCUAUAAGGUAAUCUCAAAAAUCUUGGCUAAUAUAAUUAAGAAGUUUAUUGAUGAUCUUAUUUCUCCUUGUCAAUUGCCUUUCGUUCCGGGGAGGUGGAUUGCAGAUAAUACGAUUCUUGCUCAAGAAACAAUUCAUACUAUGAAGAGAAGGAAUGGCCAGGUGGGGAUAUGGGGAUAAAACUUGAAAUGUCUAAGGAUUACAACCGUAUGGAGUGGAGGUUCGUGGAUCAGGUCCUACUUGAUUUUGGUUUUUCUACCAAAGUGCGUGAGUUAAUCUCUUCUUGUGUCUCCACAGUUGCCUUCUCGGUGCUCCUCAACGCAGGCUCGCAGAAAGAUUUUAGGCCUGAUCGUGGUUUGAGGCAAGGGGAUCCUUCUCGCCCUACUUAUUUAUUCUUUGUAGUGAGGUUUUAUCUCGGCUAAUUGCUAGGGUGGAAACCAAGGGUUCCAUCUCAAGUUUUCGAAUUUCCCAAAACGGCCCGCCUAUUUCACAUAUUCUUUAUGCGAAUGAUUGCUUCCUCUUUUGUAAGGCGAAAGAUCAGGAGGUUAGUGCUCUCCAGGGGUUCAUUGACCUUCAUUUCUCCUGGUUGGGUCAGCAUGUAAAUAUUGACAAAUCGACUGUCAUUUUCUCUGAUAAUACUAGAAGGACAGAUCGUGAGAGGUUGAAGGCGAAGUUGGGUUUUAAGUUUAUGGAUGAGAAGGCAACUUUCCUUGGAAACUCCCUAUGUCUUUCCAAAAACAAGAAAUAUUCUUUUUCUUUUAUCAAGGACAGAGUCCUCAAGAGACUAGAAGUUUUUGUGAAUAAAAAUGAAGAUUUGAAUACUUGGAGGAAAUUGGUUCAAAAAAGAGAAGGAAUAUCCAAGUUUCGGUGUUGUUUUCGACAAAUGAUGGAUCUCGACAUGAUUUGAAGGCAUUGGUGAUUUUUCGGGCUUAAAAAUGCAUGAGUUGAAGAAUUUCUUAAGGGUCACGACUUGAGCACUUUGGAGUCGCGACCAGCCACUUAACAAAAUCAAUGUUUCAGAGUCGAGACUCGGGCCGCGACAUGGCUAAGGAGGGUCGCGACUUUGCAAAGCUAAAUCCCAGAAAUCAAAGACACGGGCCACGGCAUGGCUUUGGGAGAGCAGUGGCCUAGAGGUGCACAGUCUCAGGAAUUAGGGACACGGGCUGCGGCAUGGUGCAAGUAGAGCUGCAGCCCGCCUCUCUUAAAAACGAAAAAAUUAGGUUUUAUAGAAAAAAAAAAGGGGGGGAAACUGAAAAGUAGGACAGAUAGAGGGGAGUAGUGAGAUUGUUUUGGUGGUUGAAAAGCUUGGAGAAUUCUUAAGUGUUUGUUAUUCAUCUACUUCUUUAUGUUGUUCUUGAAUUUAUUUAUGAUUAGAAUGACAGUCAUGAACUAAUUUUCUGUUUAGAGCUAUUA